Molecule: ribosomal RNA, 454 nt
Filed under: uncultured bacterium
Lineage: Bacteria
Description: bacterial SSU rRNA
Rfam family: Bacterial small subunit ribosomal RNA
Source: RNAcentral
GAUGAACGCUGGCGGCGUGCUUAACACAUGCAAGUCGAACGUGAGAAUAGCAAUAUUUGAAAGUGGCAAACGGGUGAGUAACACGUGGGAACCUGCCUCGAAGUGGGGGAUAACGAUUGGAAACGGUCGCUAAUACCGCACGGUUCUGCUCUGAUGGGAAUGGAGCAGAUAAAGAUUUAUCGCUUUGAGAGGGGCCCGCGGCCGAUUAGCUAGUUGGUAAGGUAAAGGCUUACCAAGGCGAUUAUCGGUAGCUGGUCUGAGAGGACGAUCAGCCACACGGGAACUGAGACACGGUCCCGACUCCUACGGGGGGCAGCAGUGAGGAAUAUUGGGCAAUGGGCGAAAGCCUGACCCAGCAACGCCGCGUGGAGGAUGAAGGCUUUAGGGUUGUAAACUCCUUUUGUGGGGAAAAGAAUGGAUGGUACCCCAAGAAUAAGUCACGGCUAACUACGUG